AUUGAACGCUGGCGGAAUGCUUUACACAUGCAAGUCGAACGGUAGAGGGGGCAACCCCUCGAGAGUGGCGAACGGGUGAGUAAUAUAUCGGAACGUGCCCAGUCGUGGGGGAUAACGUAGCGAAAGUUACGCUAAUACCGCAUACGACCUAAGGAUGAAAGCGGGGGAUCGCAAGACCUCGCGCGAUUGGAGCGGCCGAUAUCAGAUUAGGUAGUUGGUGGGGUAAAGGCUCACCAAGCCAACGAUCUGUAGCUGGUCUGAGAGGACGACCAGCCACACUGGAACUGAGACACGGUCCAGACUCCUACGGGAGGCAGCAGUGGGGAAUUUUGGACAAUGGACGCAAGUCUGAUCCAGCCAUUCCGCGUGCAGGACGAAGGCCCUCGGGUUGUAAACUGCUUUUGUACGGAACGAAAAGGUCUCUCUUAAUACGGGGGACUCAUGACGGUACCGUAAGAAUAAGCACCGGCUAACUACGUGCCAGCCGCCGCGGUAA
RNAcentral lists this ribosomal RNA (496 nucleotides) under uncultured bacterium. Its description in RNAcentral is "partial 16S ribosomal RNA". It matches the Rfam family "Bacterial small subunit ribosomal RNA", at positions 30 to 523 of the family's 1533-position model. The record is from RNAcentral.